Molecule: ribosomal RNA, 497 nt
Filed under: uncultured bacterium
Lineage: Bacteria
Description: partial 16S ribosomal RNA
Rfam family: Bacterial small subunit ribosomal RNA
Source: RNAcentral
GAUGAACGCUGGCGGCGCGCCUAAUACAUGCAAGUCGAGCGAACGGACGAGAAGCUUGCUUCUCUGAUGUUAGCGGCGGACGGGUGAGUAACACGUGGAUAACCUACCUAUAAGACUGGGAUAACUUCGGGAAACCGUAGCUAAUACCGGAUAAUAUUUUGAACCGCAUGGUUCAAAAGUGAAAGACGGUCUUGCUGUCACUUAUAGAUGGAUCCGCGCUGCAUUAGCUAGUUGGUAAGGUAACGGCUUACCAAGGCAACGAUGCAUAGCCGACCUGAGAGGGUGAUCGGCCACACUGGAACUGAGACACGGUCCAGACUCCUACGGGAGGCAGCAGUAGGGAAUCUUCCGCAAUGGGCGAAAGCCUGACGGAGCAACGCCGCGUGAGUGAUGAAGGUCUUCGGAUCGUAAAACUCUGUUAUUAGGGAAGAACAUAUGUGUAAGUAACUGUGCACAUCUUGACGGUACCUAAUCAGAAAGCCACGGCUAACUACGUG